Molecule: non-coding RNA, 401 nt
Organism: Camelina sativa (false flax)
Lineage: Eukaryota; Viridiplantae; Streptophyta; Magnoliopsida; Brassicales; Brassicaceae
Source: RefSeq, a predicted model, not a curated record
GAGAGAGAAAACUUGUGUUUUUUUUUUUUUUUAAUUCCUGUUUAAAGAGAGAGAGAGAGAGAAAAAAGAGAGAGUCCAAGAAAGAAACCAAAUCCUCUUGUGGCCUCCUCUUUACAUUUUUUCAGGAGAGAGAAAACUCAAAGCAGCUCUCUCUGGCCUUUGUUUUCUGAAAUCGAUCUCUUCUUCUUCUUCAUGAUCUGGUUGGUUUUUGUGCAUCUGAGUUUGUAAGUUAAAAAAAAAAAAAAAAACAGUGCGGAUAUGUCGUCGCUUAGCAGAGAGCUCGUAUUCUUGAUCUUACAGUUUCUAGAUGAGGAGAAGUUCAAGGAGACUGUUCAUAAGCUUGAACAAGAGUCUGGGUUUUUCUUCAACAUGAAGUAUUUUGAGGAUGAGGUGCACAAUGG